Molecule: long non-coding RNA, 745 nt
Organism: Felis catus (domestic cat)
Lineage: Eukaryota; Metazoa; Chordata; Mammalia; Carnivora; Felidae
Exons: 2
Source: RefSeq, a predicted model, not a curated record
GCAGAGACUGGAGCUCACUCUCCCGUGAGGACACACUCUUCCCCUGGGGGAAUAAAUCUGCUAGCGCCUUUGGUGUGAAAUGUUGGGAUCUUGGAGCAGUCAAGAAAGAAUUCUUGAGACGUCUUUGGUGCCAAAAAUGUGGUUUUAUUAGAACACAAGGACAGGAUCCGUGGGCAGGAAGAGCUGCACUGGGGCUGUAAGGAGUGACUGAUUAUAUACUUUUAAGUUGGGAUUGGUUAGGGAUAGAGUAAGUCUCUACGGAAUUUGGAAGCAAAUUCCAAAUUCCAAAUUCCGGGACCUUGAAGAGCCAGCUGCCGUGAGGGCAGAUCUGCAGGGACGCCUGGGUGACUCAGCCGGUUAAGCGUCCAACUCCUGAUUUUGGCUCGGGUCAUGAUCCCAGGGUGGUGGGAUCAAGUCCUGAGUCAGGCUCCGUGUAGAAGUCUCUACGGAAUUUGGAAGCAAGGUUUCCGGGACCUUGAGGAGCCAGCUGCCGUGAGGAGAAGGUCAUUUACUGCCGUCUAGUAAAACCUCAGUCAUGAGACCCUGCAGCAAAGUGUCAUCAUCGAGGCAGCUGAGCUCCCGAGGGAAUGUCACUGUCCGUCCCAAAGACUUGUCAAUGGGCUGUAAGUUAUAAGGAGCUUUAAUUUUUUCCUGUAUUUCUUUUGCCUUUGUCCCCCACAUGACCUUGAUUUCAGACUUCCAGUUUCUAGGACGCUGAAAAUAAACCCCUGCUGUUUAAGGCCCA